AAGGUGGUAAGAAAAUUCUGUGACUGUUUCUGUUCCUUCCUGGUAGGUGGCGACACAGCAGUCUUGCUGCUGAUUGUCCAGAAAAUGGCAGAAGAGAGCGCCGAAGCGACAAACGAUAUCAGUGGAGGGGUGUCUGGCCUAAUGCUGCCAGGUCACGG
Chelonoidis abingdonii (Abingdon island giant tortoise) is the source of this 158-nucleotide non-coding RNA. The record is from RefSeq and is a predicted model, not a curated record. Lineage: Eukaryota; Metazoa; Chordata; Testudines; Testudinidae.